RNAcentral lists this ribosomal RNA (584 nucleotides) under uncultured bacterium. RNAcentral describes it as "partial 16S ribosomal RNA". It matches the Rfam family "Bacterial small subunit ribosomal RNA", at positions 355 to 1375 of the family's 1533-position model. The record is from RNAcentral.
UGGGGAAUUUUGGACAAUGGGCGAAAGCCUGAUCCAGCAAUGCCGCGUGUGUGAAGAAGGCCUUCGGGUUGUAAAGCACUUUUGUCCGGAAAGAAAUCCUUGGCUCUAAUACAGUCGGGGGAUGACGGUACCGGAAGAAUAAGCACCGGCUAACUACGUGCCAGCAGCCGCGGUAAUACGUAGGGUGCAAGCGUUAAUCGGAAUUACUGGGCGUAAAGCGUGCGCAGGCGGUUUGCUAAGACCGAUGUGAAAUCCCCGGGCUCAACCUGGAACUGCAUGGUGACUGGCAGGCUAGAGUAUGGCAGAGGGGGGUAGAAUUCCACGUGUAGCAGUGAAAUGCGUAGAGAUGUGGAGGAAUACCGAUGGCGAAGGCAGCCCCCUGGGCCAAUACUGACGCUCAUGCACGAAAGCGUGGGGAGCAAACAGGAUUAGAUACCCCUGGUAGUCCACGCCCUAAACGAUGUCAACUAGUUGUUGGGGAUUCAUUUCCUUAGUAACGUAGCUAACGCGUGAAGUUGACCGCCUGGGGAGUACGGUCGCAAGAUUAAAACUCAAAUGAAUUGACGGGGUCAUAGCUGUUUCCU